GGGUUGUAAACUUCUUUUAUACGGGAAUAAAGUGAGGCACGCGUGCCUUUUUGUAUGUACCGUAUGAAUAAGGAUCGGCUAACUCCGUGCCAGCAGCCGCGGUAAUACGGAGGAUCCGAGCGUUAUCCGGAUUUAUUGGGUUUAAAGGGAGCGUAGGCGGACGCUUAAGUCAGUUGUGAAAGUUUGCGGCUCAACCGUAAAAUUGCAGUUGAUACUGGGUGUCUUGAGUACAGUAGAGGCAGGCGGUAUUCGUGGUGUAGCGGUGAGAUGCUUAGAUAUCACGAAGAACUCCGAUUGCGAAGGCAGCUUGCUGGACUGUAACUGACGCUGAUGCUCGAAAGUGUGGGUAUCAAACAGGAUUAGAUACCCUGGUAGUCCACACAGUAAA
RNAcentral lists this ribosomal RNA (388 nucleotides) under uncultured bacterium. Its description in RNAcentral is "bacterial SSU rRNA". It matches the Rfam family "Bacterial small subunit ribosomal RNA", at positions 420 to 806 of the family's 1533-position model. The record is from RNAcentral.